AUUGAACGCUGGCGGCAGGCCUAACACAUGCAAGUCGAACGAGUGGCGGACGGGUGUGUAAUGUCUGGGAAACUGCCCGAUGGAGGGGGAUAACUACUGGAAACGGUAGCUAAUACCGCAUACUAUCGGAUGCGCCCAGAUGGGUUGAGCUAGUGGGGGGGGUAACGGCUCACCUGGGCGACGAUCCCUAGCUGGUCUGAGAGGAUGACCAGCCACACUGGAACUGAGACACGGUCCAGACUCCUACGGGAGGCAGCAGUGGGGAAUAUUGCACAAUGGGCGCAAGCCUGAUGCAGCCAUGCCGCGUGUAUGAAGAAGGCCUUCGGGUUGUAAAGUACUUUCAGCGAGGAGGCGUUACUCGCAGAAGAAGCACCGGCUAACUCCGUGCCAGCAGCCGCGGUAAUAC
Molecule: ribosomal RNA, 406 nt
Filed under: uncultured bacterium
Lineage: Bacteria
Description: partial 16S ribosomal RNA
Rfam family: Bacterial small subunit ribosomal RNA
Source: RNAcentral